GACUCUCGGCAACGGAUAUCUUGGCUCUCGCAUCGAUGAAGAACGUAGCGAAAUGCGAUACGUGGUGUGAAUUGCAGAAUCCCGUGAACCAUCGAGUCUUUGAACGCAAGUUGCGCCCGAGGGACCUGCCCGAGGGCUCACCUGCCUCAUGGG
RNAcentral lists this ribosomal RNA (153 nucleotides) under Costularia xipholepis. Its description in RNAcentral is "5.8S ribosomal RNA". It matches the Rfam family "5.8S ribosomal RNA". Rfam says of the family: 5.8S ribosomal RNA (5.8S rRNA) is a component of the large subunit of the eukaryotic ribosome. Lineage: Eukaryota; Viridiplantae; Streptophyta; Magnoliopsida; Poales; Cyperaceae. The record is from RNAcentral.